CGGUUCGUGUAGCAGUGCGGCUCUCUGUUACCCAGACACGUAAGGCUAACGUAAUAUAGCACGUUACAUUGUUGUGAUGGUGUCUGCGCCGACGGGCGCGUGGUAGUCUUGAAACGCCUCGACGGGUUUAGACGUAUAAACGCAUGUGAAACGAAGGCGUGACGCGGUGGGUUGGCGCUGAGCGGUGAAACCAGAACCCCCCCCCCCCCGCAGGUUUCGCGGCUCAUUCUUGGCUCGUCGCGGUAACGUUGCGCUGCUCGCUGACACCACCCGCCGCCGUGCCCCUGCACCACCCAGCCUCCACACCGGGCGGCAUCGCGCCCAAUGGGAGGGGGAACCACGUGGUGAAAAACCCCGAUCCAGGCCCAGCGGUGUUAGCAACGUGGCUAAGUGCUAACGGCACAACACGACGCCUUUGAAAAAGCAUUCCUCUGUGUAACCACACUUAGGACCUUUAAAAAGAUUCAUUAAUAUCUGCACACCGGUCCACGUCCGCCUCCCCAUGCAGAACUCCGUGAAAUGAAUAAAGCACCACAGCCUCUAACAGGACCCCCCUCCAACCCCCACCCCGCCCCCUCCCCCGGCCUGUCACAG
Gasterosteus aculeatus aculeatus (three-spined stickleback) is the source of this 594-nucleotide long non-coding RNA. The record is from Ensembl. Lineage: Eukaryota; Metazoa; Chordata; Actinopteri; Perciformes; Gasterosteidae.